Molecule: long non-coding RNA, 207 nt
Filed under: Elaeis guineensis (African oil palm)
Lineage: Eukaryota; Viridiplantae; Streptophyta; Magnoliopsida; Arecales; Arecaceae
Description: long non-coding RNA (EGUI_LNC056308)
Source: RNAcentral
CCCUCUUGUUUGUUGGUUUUCACCUACUGGUAGCAGCACAAAUAGAGAGAGAAUAGUUAGAGAAGAAGAGAAGAAGAAGAUCAAGAAAAGAGAUCAAGUGUUGAUUGCGUUCCAGACUUCGUUUAGAUUCAGCAACUGAAUUUUCUAAGAGAAGAAAAUACAAUUUCUAGAGGACUGCUCCAGGCUGAUCUAAGUGGAUACCCAGAA